Molecule: long non-coding RNA, 325 nt
Organism: Lagopus leucura (white-tailed ptarmigan)
Lineage: Eukaryota; Metazoa; Chordata; Aves; Galliformes; Phasianidae
Exons: 3
Source: RefSeq, a predicted model, not a curated record
CCUGCGGGCCCGAGGACGGCGGCGCUGCCGGCGUGGCACCGACGGGGCGACCGGGCGACGAGGAGAGCGGCCUGCGGAGCGCCGGCGGGCGCACGGACCCCGCGCUGUGGCAGGCGCUCGCCGAGCUGUCCCCAAACCUCAAGCUGUCCCCAAACCUCAAGCUGUCCCCAAAGCCUGAACCCUGCGCCCUGGGCCCGGCCUACUGGUGCUCCAGUGCUGAGACUGCCCGGCGUUGUGAGGCUCAGCCGUACUGCCAGCAGCGCUCCAGGCUGUAGGGCACGGAGGAGCGACCACAGCCCCAAAUAAAGCUUGGAUGCCAGCAGCA